RNAcentral lists this transfer RNA (58 nucleotides) under Felis catus (domestic cat). It matches the Rfam family "tRNA", at positions 8 to 63 of the family's 71-position model. Rfam says of the family: Transfer RNA (tRNA) molecules are approximately 80 nucleotides in length. Lineage: Eukaryota; Metazoa; Chordata; Mammalia; Carnivora; Felidae. RNAcentral also lists the same sequence under 4 other names. The record is from Rfam by way of RNAcentral.
UGGCUUGGCUGGAAGAGCAUGAGACUCUUGAUCUCAGUGUUGUGGGUUUGAGUCCCAC